CAGUAGCCGCGGUAAAACGUAGGUGGCAAGCGUUGUCCGGAAUUAUUGGGCGUAAAGGGCUCGCAGGCGGUUUCUUAAGUCUGAUGUGAAAGCCCCCGGCUCAACCGGGGAGGGUCAUUGGAAACUGGGAAACUUGAAUGCAGAAGAGGAGAGUGGAAUUCCACGUGUAGCGGUGAAAUGCGUAGAGAUGUGGAGGAACACCAGUGGCGAAGGCGACUCUCUGGUCUGUAACUGACGCUGAGGAGCGAAAGCGUGGGGAGCGAACAGGAUUAGAUACCCCCGUAGUCCCUGUCUCUUAUAC
RNAcentral lists this ribosomal RNA (301 nucleotides) under uncultured bacterium. RNAcentral's name for it is "partial 16S ribosomal RNA". It matches the Rfam family "Bacterial small subunit ribosomal RNA", at positions 509 to 807 of the family's 1533-position model. The record is from RNAcentral.